RNAcentral lists this ribosomal RNA (325 nucleotides) under uncultured eukaryote. Its description in RNAcentral is "partial 18S ribosomal RNA". It matches the Rfam family "Eukaryotic small subunit ribosomal RNA", at positions 1470 to 1796 of the family's 1831-position model. The record is from RNAcentral.
CCCUUAGAUGUUCUGGGCCGCACGCGCGCUACACUGAUGCAUUCAACGAGCCUAUCCUUGACCGACAGGUCCGGGUAAUCUGUGAAUCUGCAUCGUGACGGGGAUAGAUUAUUGCAAUUAUUAAUCUUCAACGAGGAAUGCCUAGUAGGCGCAAGUCAUCAGCUUGCGUCGAUUACGUCCCUGCCCUUUGUACACACCGCCCGUCGCUCCUACCGAUUGGGUGUGCUGGUGAAAUGUUCGGAUCGGCCGUUUGUCGCGGUUUCCGCGUCAUGUGGCUGAGAAGUUCAUUAAACCCUCCCACCUAGAGGAAGGAGAAGUCGUAACA